This 287-nucleotide ribosomal RNA is filed under the name Calamagrostis pseudophragmites. RNAcentral describes it as "partial 18S ribosomal RNA". It matches the Rfam family "Eukaryotic small subunit ribosomal RNA", at positions 1549 to 1831 of the family's 1831-position model. Lineage: Eukaryota; Viridiplantae; Streptophyta; Magnoliopsida; Poales; Poaceae. The record is from RNAcentral.
AUCUUGGGAAAUUUCAUCGUGAUGGGGAUAGAUCAUUGCUAUUGUUGGUCUUCAACGAGGAAUGCCUAGUAAGCGCGAGUCAUCAGCUCGCGUUGACUACGUCCCUGCCCUUUGUACACACCGCCCGUCGCUCCUACCGAUUGAAUGGUCCGGUGAAGUGUUCGGAUCGCGGCGACGGGGGCGGUUCGCCGCCCCCGACGUCGCGAGAAGUCCAUUGAACCUUAUCAUUUAGAGGAAGGAGAAGUCGUAACAAGGUUUCCGUAGGUGAACCUGCGGAAGGAUCAUUG